GCAUUAGGUAGACGGCGGGGAAACGGCCCACCGUGCCGACGAUGCGUAGGGGUUCUGAGAGGAAGGCCCCCCACACUGGUACUGAGACACGGACCAGACUCCUACGGGAGGCAGCAGUGAGGAAUAUUGGUCAAUGGCCGAGAGGCUGAACCAGCCAAGUCGCGUGAGGGAAGAAUGUCCUAAGGAUUGUAAACCUCUUUUGUCGGGGAGCAAAAAGGCUCUGCGGAGUCGUAUUGAGAGUACCCGAAGAAAAAGCAUCGGCUAACUCCGUGCCAGCAGCCGCGGUAAUACGGAGGAUGCGAGCGUUAUCCGGAUUUAUUGGGUUUAAAGGGUGCGCAGGCGGCGUGUCAAGCAAGCGGUAAAAUAGCGGGGCUCAACCCCGUCGAGCCGUUUGAACUGGCGCGCUUGAGUUCAGGCGAGGUAGGCGGAAUUCGUGGUGUAGCGGUGAAAUGCAUAGAUAUCACGAAGAACUCCGAUUGCGAAGGCAGCUUACCAGUCUGCGACUGACGCUCAGGCACGAAAGUGUGGGUAUCGAACAGGAUUAGAUACCCUGGUAGUCCACACAGUAAACGAUGAGCGCUAGGUGUCCGGGUCGCAUGAG
Molecule: ribosomal RNA, 601 nt
Filed under: uncultured bacterium
Lineage: Bacteria
Description: bacterial SSU rRNA
Rfam family: Bacterial small subunit ribosomal RNA
Source: RNAcentral